CACGUUUUGGAUAGAGGGAACUCGAAGGUAGGUUUAUACAAAAAUGGCGGCCACGUUGGAAACAUCGCAGAACAAAGGUUCUGACGUUUAUUACGACGUAUGUUGUACAAUACGUGGAGAUGAAGGCAUAUAUAAAGAAGGACGGUUUAAUUGUAAGAAAUGUUCAAAAUAUUUCUGUAACAGUUGUGUAUUCACGCACGAUAAGUUUCUUAAGGAUCAUUUAAUACUGAACAAGGGGGCGGUGACGAUUGGCUUGUAGUUAAACAAGUUGAUGGUUCGCUGGAGUUAUGUGAGGAGCACACGACUGAGAAACUGACGAUGUUCUGUGAAGAUGAUGAAAAGCUGCUCUGCCACGUCUUUCAUCUCCGUAAUCACAAGCAAUGUAGUUAGGUAGUUCUAUUAACUGACAAGGUAAAAUCUAUCACACUAACCGUAGAUGUAGCUCAAAUGAGGACAACCAUUGACUCAUUAAUAAAACGUCUAGAGGAUACGGUGAAGAUAGGAGAACACAAUAUUAUUUGUCUCCAAACGUCAUACGAACAUGUGAUGGAAGAAAUAAUUGAUAUACGUCGACUUAUGAACGAAAAUCUAUAUCGACUGCAACAAAAUACAGAAUGUUAAUGUUUAAAGGGUAUAUGAAUGAAGACAUAGAAAAAACGUCGCCUGAAUGAUCGUUUAUUAUGUACAAAAAAUGUAACAAAAUCGACCAUAUCACUUCCGAAAAGUUAUUUCUUCGAAAAGCAUCUACAAAUGCAAACCUUGAAUUCCACCUAAACAAGGACUUGGAGCAGUUUCUUGCUUCUUGUACAGUUCGGAAGUAUCGCAUGUCGCGAAGGUGCGUCACAUCACCACUUUGAUACAAACACGGCUGCACGCAUAAAGGAAAAUUCAAGAUACAAAGUGCUAACUGCGCUCGAUAGAAGGGACUGUUUUAUAAGGAGCAUAUGCGAGUCGUACUACGGAAACUUCAUUUUUGCUGACUACAACAAUAUGUGCUUGAAACUCCUGGAACAGGUGUACAAUUUUAUACUUGAAAUCAAACUGCCUGAAUCCCCAUGGUGCAUGUGUAACAUAUCAACCAACGAGAUGGCGGUUAUUGUUGGUUACGUAAGCUCUGUAAAAGAAAUUCAUUCUUACGACUCACCAGGGCGACCUGUUUGCAACGUCCGUUGCUGCAGUGUGUCAAUACACGAUGGAUGGGCGGCUAGUGAAUACUUUAUUUAAGGAGAAAUCGGGAGGAUGCGAUGGUGUUGGGGUGAGCCCUGAUGGAAAGAAGGUAUACGUGACGGACAGUGUCAAUGGAAUUCUCUGCACACUGACCAGGGAUGGAGCGGUCACAGCCACGCUCAAGAAGGAUCCUGCAUUUCAAAUGUCUAAUUUCAUAAAUAACAUACAUAGUCGAAUGUGCCGACAUGUGGAUUUCGACUAAUGCGGACCUGUACAUUUUGUGGCAUGGUGGCACUUACAAUCGGUAAAUUGAUUAAAGUCGAUGCUAAAAUAAAAACUGCGCUUUCAAAAUAUAUUAUGAACUGCAUAACUCACACAUUUAUUGAUGACCAAUCUUCUAGACAGUUGUGUUAACCGCGUAAGCUUUCAAACAUUUUACUGGGGUCGCAGACGUUUUAUUGCAGGUAAUCUGAAGAAGAAAUCAACAAUUAUUUACAAAAACCUGUGAGGGAAAUAAGUCAAUGUACCGUGGCUGCAUACUGCGCCAAGGUGUUAACGAACGACUUAUGACCCAGUGCUCUGGGACAAAAUGUAAAGCGCCUUUGAACGCACAUCUCGAGUAUGAAAAGGGCGCUAUAUAAAUGUGGUAUAAAAAUGAUUUUCCAGUUAAGUCGUUGUUAAAUAAUUGA
This is a long non-coding RNA of Dreissena polymorpha, 1856 nucleotides long. RefSeq lists it as uncharacterized. The record is from RefSeq and is a predicted model, not a curated record. NCBI's taxonomy places the organism in Eukaryota, Metazoa, Mollusca, Bivalvia, Myida, Dreissenidae. The transcript has 3 exons.